AUUUACAUCAUGGAGACUAGGAUCAAAUCUGGAUGAUUAUAUCAUUUUAAAAGAUUGAUUCAGUAUUCCAUUAUCUAUUACUACUACUAAAAUUAUUACCAUUAUGGGUCAUUUUUGACUUACAAUUGGGUUAUCAUAGCAUAACCCCAUUGUAAAUCAAGGGCAACCUGUAUUUAGGGAUUUUUUGAGGUUUUAGAAUAGGAAUCUGAUGAUGAUUUCUUUGAAUUCAAAAUGGCAGAUCUCAGUAUGGUCAUCUGAAAUUCAAUAGAUAUUUUCAUUUACUCUGAUUUUUUUUUGUGUUGUCAGCUAGUUAGAGGUUUUGAGGUUAGAGAUUAGAAAUCUGAUGAUAGUUUUUCGAAUUCAAAAUGGUGGAGCCAAUAUGGCAGCCUUAAAUUUAAUGGUUAUUUUAAUGAAGUUCAACUUUUCUUAUUGUUGUCCAGUCAGAUUGAAUAUCUGGAAAUAUUAUGGCUUUUCAUCCAGAGGACUGGAUUCAAGCCCAAGUCCUUGGAAAAUAUUUAGUGGUCAGAUAUCAUGCUAUCAAUUGCCAUUCUGAACAGUUUGCUAUCUUUUGAUGUAUACAGUUUUGGCAUGGCCUCAAUUUGCUCACUUAGUAAUCGAUAGAUUGAAAAAUAGCCAUUUUUGAGGGAAAAAAGAUACAAAAUCAUUCUUCUAUAAAUAUUUGCAUCAAUAGCUUCUCUAUCUCUGUCAUAGACAUGCUUAUAAACUAAUCUUGAAUAAAAAUUCAUUGGACAAAUCUUUAGGUUUUCUGAGAAGUUUAAUUAUAAAAUAAUCAUAUGAGUUUAGUUUGUGAAAUAUAU
RNAcentral lists this long non-coding RNA (818 nucleotides) under Androctonus crassicauda. Lineage: Eukaryota; Metazoa; Arthropoda; Arachnida; Scorpiones; Buthidae. The record is from RNAcentral.